RNAcentral lists this ribosomal RNA (253 nucleotides) under uncultured prokaryote. Its description in RNAcentral is "partial 16S ribosomal RNA". It matches the Rfam family "Bacterial small subunit ribosomal RNA", at positions 525 to 777 of the family's 1533-position model. The record is from RNAcentral.
ACGAAGGGUGCAAGCGUUACUCGGAAUUACUGGGCGUAAAGCGUGCGUAGGUGGUUUGUUAAGUCUGAUGUGAAAGCCCUGGGCUCAACCUGGGAACGGCAUUGGAUACUGGCUUACUAGAGUGCGGUAGAGGGUAGUGGAAUUCCCGGUGUAGCAGUGAAAUGCGUAGAUAUCGGAAGGAACAUCAGUGGCGAAAGCGGCUUCCUGGACCAGCACCGACGUUCAGGCACGAAAGCGUGGGGAGCAAACAGGA